This 253-nucleotide ribosomal RNA is filed under the name uncultured bacterium. Its description in RNAcentral is "partial 16S ribosomal RNA". It matches the Rfam family "Bacterial small subunit ribosomal RNA", at positions 524 to 776 of the family's 1533-position model. The record is from RNAcentral.
UACGUAGGGGGCUAGCGUUGUUCGGAAUUAUUGGGCGUAAAGCGCACGUAGGCGGCUUAGCAAGUUGGAUGUGAAAUCCCUCGGCUCAACCAAGGAAGUGCAUCCAAAACUGCUGAGCUUGAGUACUUAAGAGGAUCGCGGAAUUCCCAGUGUAGAGGUGAAAUUCGUAGAUAUUGGGAAGAACACCGGUGGCGAAGGCGGCUCACUGGCUCAUUUCUGACGCUCAGGCGCGACAGCGUGGGGAUCAAACAGG